This 1699-nucleotide long non-coding RNA is filed under the name Gallus gallus (chicken). RNAcentral's name for it is "lncRNA (ENSGALG00010010764.1)". The record is from RNAcentral. Lineage: Eukaryota; Metazoa; Chordata; Aves; Galliformes; Phasianidae.
CUGUGGGCCAUUUCAAAACUGAGCUCUUAAUGAUUCCACACCUAAUUUAUUUUGAGCAGGAAUGAAAUGCCUUGAAUUAUGAAAAUAAUUUCCUUUUACUUUUGGGGACCAUGUUUCAGAGUUCAGUCACUAAAUACAGUAGGUAAAUAAAGAUGCUCAGGAAGUUUAUGUACUAAAAUAUAGAAAUGUACCUGUGUUCUUGGCUGGCCAAAAAUUGAGUUAUAGCUUGCAGUAGCAAUAUUUUGAGAAAAGAAAGGACUAAGAUGUUUAUUCUUUAGUGUGAUAGCUGGUGAGAUGUAUAAAUAGAUGUUUCAGUGGGCAUUCAGGCACACCAAUUUGUUUUUCGGCUCAUCCGUUAUGGAGAGCUUCAGGAAAUCUGCUGGUAUGCUUACGUUGAUAGACUUUUCUGUGAAGAAUAUCAGAAAGAGAGAAAUCCAUUUCGAGUCAACAUGCAUGCUGAGAUGUCAAAAGACACAGUGCACAAAUAGCUCCGCUUUGUGUUUUUUUAUGCAAAGUAUUGGCAAGUAUCUGUGUUCCAGCAUCACUGAUUCAGACAACUUCAUACCAGCUGUCAUCAUCCUUGCUUCAGCAUUCAGUUGAAAAACAAUCAAAGUGAAAAUUACACUAUUCAAAUAAAGUGCUUCAAUCUAUCUUUGAUCUGAUCACUCAGAAUCCCAGUUUAUGAAAGAGAAUUUUACUUGUAUUUCUAAGCAUUUCUUUUAAGUUGAUAUUGUAUUUUUAGAAUAUCGUACUAACCACCCAAAGUAACAUCAUUAAUUAAAUCACAUGAACUAAUUCACGCCAGUUUCCUGGAGACUGCUCACUGGAAUUUAAAGACAAAAAUGAGCAAACAAACACACAAACAAAAAACAACACCUUUCUUCUUCUACAUUAAAUCCCCAGACAACUUUAAAAUAAACUACAACCAGAAUCUUUGUCUUUGCAAAAGUAUAUAUUAUUUAAAUAAAAGAUUGUACAUCUGUAAAUUUCCAAUUAAAUAAUGAGUGAAUAAUAAGACUGAUGAGAUUGUAUUCAAAGACUGAUAAAUCUGAGAAAACUUGUAUGUAUGUACAUGCAUAUAUAGAAAUAGUCUUACAUUUUGUGAAUUAAUUUUGUUCUGAUAAGGGCGUUAUGUAGAAAGAUUGUUAUUGAGGGUUGUGGGAGGUUUUUAUUUCUUUUUUUGUUGUUGUUGUUGUUCAUUUUUUGUUGCUAUUUGAUUUGGUUUUUGUUUUUCUGCCAAAACUGAAAUGGAGAGAUAGAAGAAAUGGAAAUAUGAAACAAAAUUUCAUAAGUAUAAAACAUGAAUUUAUCAACAUUUUCAGGAAAGUCAGGUCUGAGUCAUCUACUCUACCUUACUUCAAAAUGACAGUAUCUACAAGAAAGAGUUUAAUGCGUCAUAUAUUUUUAGUUUAGCCAAAUGUCUUUGCCCUUCUGAACAUCAUUGUUCCUCAUACAGUAACUGUCCUAUCUUCCAAGUAGAGGCUACAUCUUUGAACACCUCUUGGACUUCUAAAAUGAACCUCUACAUCCAUUUUUAACUGCAAUUAUUUGAAGUCUUCUAGAGGUGCUUAACAAACUAUGAGCUUUUGAAUAGCAGGUCAAAAGGAGAAAGUGUUUUCCAAGGAGAUUGGUGUGGGUUUUUGUAUUUCAGAGUACAGUUCAUGGGUGAUAAAUUCUCAAGAACCAAACAUAAUUGAAG